Molecule: non-coding RNA, 459 nt
Organism: Macaca mulatta (Rhesus monkey)
Lineage: Eukaryota; Metazoa; Chordata; Mammalia; Primates; Cercopithecidae
Source: RefSeq, a predicted model, not a curated record
CUAGUGUCUAAUGCUUAGGUACUCCAUCUUUAUCAGAGUCUAAUAGAAAUUCAGGAAUUGGUUUUCAAAUGGUAUAUAAUUCUUCUCUGUAGAUGUCAUGGACUUUCUUUGUAAACCUAAGGAAGUGUGUUGAGAUUUUUCCAGUGGAGCUUUCCCCAAAUGCUACACAAAAUUAUUGUUCACAACUGAUAGUUCACAACUGAUGUUCCAGCACCAACUACGUUAUAGAGAGGGAUAGGAGAACUUUAUGCCGAAAAAAACUGGACCAGUAAUGGACAUCCAUCAUGGUUGUAAGGAGGUAGCCACAGAGAGGUAACUUAUAUUGUCUCCUGCCUUGACAUCAGAAUUCAUCCAUGUAAUGUCUUCACCAUAGAAAGCACUUUGUGCACCCUCUCUAGUUAGACCCACCCAGCACCCUUGAGGAGAGCAGAAUCGUACUAUUCUCAUCUGACUGUUGAC